RNAcentral lists this ribosomal RNA (253 nucleotides) under uncultured bacterium. RNAcentral's name for it is "partial 16S ribosomal RNA". It matches the Rfam family "Bacterial small subunit ribosomal RNA", at positions 524 to 776 of the family's 1533-position model. The record is from RNAcentral.
UACGUAGGGUGCAAGCGUUGUCCGGAAUUAUUGGGCGUAAAGAGCUCGUAGGCGGUUCGUCGCGUCGGCUGUGAAAUCCCGAGGCUCAACCUCGGGUCUGCAGUCGAUACGGGCGGACUGGAGUUCGGUAGGGGAGACUGGAAUUCCUGGUGUAGCGGUGAAAUGCGCAGAUAUCAGGAGGAACACCGGUGGCGAAGGCGGCAUCCUGGACCGACAUUGACGCUGAGGAGCGAAAGCUAGGGGAGCAAACGGG